GAUGAACGCUGGCGGUGUGCCUAAUACAUGCAAGUCGAGCGAACAGACGAGGAGCUUACUCCUCUGACGUUAGCGGCGGACGGGUGAGUAACACGUGGAUAACCUACCUAUAAGACUGGGAUAACUUCGGGAAACCGGAGCUAAUACCGGAUAACAUGUUGAACCGCAUGGUUCAACAGUGAAAGACGGUCUUGCUGUCACUUAUAGAUGGAUCCGCGUCGCAUUAGCUAGUUGGUAAGGUAACGGCUUACCAAGGCAACGAUGCGUAGCCGACCUGAGAGGGUGAGCGGCCACACUGGAACUGAGACACGGUCCAGACUCCUAAGGGAGGCAGCAGUAGGGAAUCUUCCGCAAGGGGCGAAAGCCUGACGGAGCAACGCCGCGUGAGUGAAGAAGGUCUUCGGAUCGUAAACCUCUGUUAUUAGGGAAGAACAAAUGUGUAAGUAACUAUGCACGUCUUGACGGUACCUAAUCAGAAAGCCACGGCUAACUACGUG
RNAcentral lists this ribosomal RNA (497 nucleotides) under uncultured bacterium. RNAcentral's name for it is "partial 16S ribosomal RNA". It matches the Rfam family "Bacterial small subunit ribosomal RNA", at positions 28 to 507 of the family's 1533-position model. The record is from RNAcentral.